UCUCCGUUGGUGAACCAGCGGAGGGAUCAUUGCUGGAACUGUGUCCGCAAGGACACAACCCCAGAUACCCUUUGUGAACUUAUUCUUAUAUCGUUGCCUCGGCGCUGAGCUGGGGGCUUCUUUCCAAGGAGCUCUCCCAUGGUCUCUCGGGACGAUGGAGCAAGCCCGCCGGCGGCCAACCAAACUCUUGUUUUUACACUGAAACUCUGAGAAUAAAACAUAAAUGAAUCAAAACUUUCAACAACGGAUCUCUUGGUUCUGGCAUCGAUGAAGACGCAGC
RNAcentral lists this unclassified non-coding RNA (280 nucleotides) under uncultured fungus. RNAcentral describes it as "sequence contains ITS1, 5.8S rRNA gene". The stretch from base 233 to 280 matches the Rfam family "5.8S ribosomal RNA", at positions 1 to 49 of the family's 154-position model. Lineage: Eukaryota; Fungi. The record is from RNAcentral.